This 482-nucleotide long non-coding RNA is filed under the name Rattus norvegicus (Norway rat). Its description in RNAcentral is "long non-coding RNA NONRATT019773". Lineage: Eukaryota; Metazoa; Chordata; Mammalia; Rodentia; Muridae. The record is from RNAcentral.
ACUACUGAGAAGUGAUGCAGUUAAUCCUGUUCCUUUUCUAAAGCGGACUCCUGGCGAAACAAUGUACUAUAUAUCAUUGCCUGGAAGCGUCAGAUGCAGGAAGCUCCUAUCUAAACUGGACAACUGUCCCUUCGAAGAACAAACAGAACAGCUGAAGAGAGAAAUAUGUUACUUUGUACUGUAUCCUGACUAUAUUGAGCAAAAUAUACAUGCUGUAAGAUUCGAUUGUUAUACCAAAUGAGACUCUGAGACUGACUGGCCUGUUACCCAACACUUGCAGACAUUGAUUCUACUUCUGGAACUCUAAUAUGGAAUCACCCUUCAGUAUGGAUGCCAGGAGUCACAGAGACAUGCAGUCCAGUUAUGUACACCUGAACAAUUGUCUUCCUUUUACAUUUCACAUACUUCUUUUAAAUGAACCAUUGUAAGCCUGCCAUAACUAACCUAUGCUUUGCUCAAUAAAAGUACUGCCAUUCAUCUUG